This 31-nucleotide non-coding RNA is filed under the name Rattus norvegicus (Norway rat). Lineage: Eukaryota; Metazoa; Chordata; Mammalia; Rodentia; Muridae. The record is from RNAcentral.
UAAGCAACCUCACACGGCCUCGGGAAGCCAU